RNAcentral lists this ribosomal RNA (449 nucleotides) under uncultured bacterium. RNAcentral describes it as "bacterial SSU rRNA". It matches the Rfam family "Bacterial small subunit ribosomal RNA", at positions 355 to 796 of the family's 1533-position model. The record is from RNAcentral.
UGGGGAAUUUUGGACAAUGGGGGAAACCCUGAUCCAGCAAUGCCGCGUGUGUGAAGAAGGCCUUCGGGUUGUAAAGCACUUUUGUCCGGAAAGAAAUCGCCUUGGCUAAUAUCCAGGGUGGAUGACGGUACCGGAAGAAUAAGCACCGGCUAACUACGUGCCAGCAGCCGCGGUAAUACGUAGGGUGCAAGCGUUAAUCGGAAUUACUGGGCGUAAAGCGUGCGCAGGCGGUUGUGCAAGACAGAUGUGAAAUCCCCGGGCUUAACCUGGGAACUGCAUUUGUGACUGCACGGCUAGAGUGUGUCAGAGGGGGGUAGAAUUCCACGUGUAGCAGUGAAAUGCGUAGAGAUGUGGAGGAAUACCGAUGGCGAAGGCAGCCCCCUGGGAUAACACUGACGCUCAUGCACGAAAGCGUGGGGAGCAAACAGGAUUAGAUACCCGUGUAGUCC